AUCCUUUUUUGGUUCACAAGCAUGAUGAUUGGGUGUUCACGCCUCUGCAUGACAUGUGCCACCCUCAAAUCUUGUUAUGACGUGGGCACAUUACCCUUCUGAUG
Castor canadensis (American beaver) is the source of this 104-nucleotide small nucleolar RNA. Lineage: Eukaryota; Metazoa; Chordata; Mammalia; Rodentia; Castoridae. The record is from Ensembl.